UUCCGAUGUGGGGGCACUUGAGCCAUUGUUAAGCAUCUGCUCUGUACCGCAGAGCUGUUCACUCAGAGGGGAUAGGAGCUGAACUCUGGGAGACAGUCAACUCUACAAGGUCACAGAGAGAAAGGGAAAAACCCCUCCAGCUGGACAAUCAGGAGAGGUUCUUGGAAGGGCUUUCUUUAGGAUCGAGUGUCAAACACCAGGUCACCUGGCUUCCCCCAGCCCACUUGGCCUUUCAGGCUCCAGAUCGGAUUCCAACCGCAGAAUCUCCACACUCAGGGGAGGACCCCAUCCAUCCAGGAGGGCCUGCCCCCGCUGUACCCAAAGGCCACACAGCAUUAGCACUUGGGCUGGAGACUGGAGAAAGGCACUGCUGAAUGAUAAACUCAGGCUGCUGAGGUCCUGCAGCUGGCCGGCACGGCAAAGAGGCUGUGCAACCAUGGGGGCUGCUUCUUAAACAACAGUGGGAAACCGGGAUCCUCUCCCUGAGAAGGUAAAGGCCCAGCUCCACCCUGCUCUCUGUAUACCCUCAGCACUGCCAGAUCUCUUUCCAGACUAUUCUCUCUCUCUCAGAGGCAGAGGCCAGCCACAGGGACAUUUGAAGAUACCCCCCACCCUCCGAUUCACCAUGGGGUAAUGGUCACCAUCAAAGAGGAUUUCUGCCGCCCUGACUCAGGCUCAGCCUUUAAGCUUCUCAUUUCAUCCUCCCGAUAGCCACUAUGGUACCGCUAUGGUAACUGCCUUUCCCAGUGAGUUCAGAGAGCUUGGAAGAUUCCCAAGGUCACCGAGAAGAAAGUAGCUAGAACUCCUAAGCUCAUGCUGUUGACCCCCACCUGCUGCUUCCCUCCAAUCCUCCCUCAUGGGAACUUGUACUCAAGAGAUGCCCAACAAAACCCACUGAACUUAACACUGGUAACAGCUUAAGGCAGACCCUUCCCCAGGGAUGCUUGCGCUGCAUGUAUAGCUGCCUGUCGUUGUGGACCUGGGUGGCGUAUCUGCAAUGGUGGCAUUUCAGACAGACAGCAUGAAGCUGAUCAUUUUCAUUUGGGAAUGAAAUGAUCCCAGAGUCCCACGACCACCCUGUACAGGCGGAUGACUCCCAUCUCUCUCAUGAAACUGCCCCUUCAAGGUUAAGCAAUCAGACCCCUCUGUUUCCGUGUUCACUACUCACUAGCUUGGCUCCGAGGCAAAUGUUCUAGACCUAUUAAUUAUCACAGGAUAAUUAGGGAUGGGGAAAUCCAGGUGCAGAUAAAAUCAUUGCCUCUCCCCACCUGCCCCCACAUUCCCCUCUUGUCUCCCUGAAAUCCCGGGAUGUGCUGUGUUUCCCUGUCAUCUCCACCCCAUGACUCCCACCAGACUCACCAGGCCAGUGCCAAAAUGCCCAGAGGAGUGCUGAGCCACCAUGCCGGGGCCUGCUAGAGCUGCCUGGCCAAGUCAAAGUGACCCAGAAAGCUCCUCCCACUGCCCUAGAAGUCUCAGACACCUUAAGGAACCUUCCUUCCUUCUCACCCUCAGAGCUUAAGCUGCCUUCGUACCCCCAACCUUCCCAUUCAGUUGAUAGGAGACACUGACUAGGGUAAGGAUCCUUAUCCAGAGAUCCAUGCGCUUACCAAGGGACUGCUUGAUUCCCCCAAGGCUGUCUGUCAGUGAAAUUCUCUAUGCAUGUAUAUAUUGAAUUUAUCUGGGAAGACUCCAAGGUACAGGAGACCCUCAAAGAUCUCUGAACUACCCCCAAAUGGUUAAGCAAUAAGAUUCUGGACCAAGGUGUCACUGAACCCACCCCUGUAAGCACCCAUGAGGUCCGCUAAAUCUUACAACCAUGCGGAGAACAGGCUAUAACUUAAUGGUCGGGAGUACCAACCUGAGCUUCAUCCCAGUCAGUGCUGCUACUUGCUCUGUCUCCUCAGUUUCCCUGUCUGAAAUUGGGAUCACAGUGGUCUCAACCACAUAGAGCUAUCGUGAGGGUUAGGGUAAAAGAAGUUCACCAAGCUAGGCACAGCACACUACCCCUGAUCCACAGUAAGUGCUCAAUAUAUGUCAGCUACUACUUAUCACCUGCUUCAGAAAUGAAAUGGGAUCUCAGUGAGGCUAAUUGAAUAGUCCAGUGUCACACAGCACUGCCCUAGCUGGGAGCCCUCGCUGGGGCAGACUGGGAUGGGAUUCUGGGAAUACCAUCUGUCCAGAGUUGAUGCCUCCAUCAGCUCCAUCAGCGUGACAGGACUGAUUUACUGGGGUUGGAUCAGGAUUGGGGUUAAUCCAGAGAUCAGAGUCACCCCUGGAAGAGUGGAGUUUGGUCUCCCAUGGCUUUUGAGCUCAGGAGAGCUGAGUUCUAGUUUCAGUGUUAUCUGUGAUUGGGCCAGCCCUGCCCCCUCAGGGCUGCUGUUUUCCACUAUAACAUGAGGUGGGGUGAGAAGCCUGGAUCUCAUCUCAAGAA
Talpa occidentalis (Iberian mole) is the source of this 2431-nucleotide long non-coding RNA. RefSeq lists it as uncharacterized. NCBI's taxonomy places the organism in Eukaryota, Metazoa, Chordata, Mammalia, Eulipotyphla, Talpidae. The transcript is spliced from 5 exons. The record is from RefSeq and is a predicted model, not a curated record.